This 492-nucleotide ribosomal RNA is filed under the name uncultured bacterium. Its description in RNAcentral is "partial 16S ribosomal RNA". It matches the Rfam family "Bacterial small subunit ribosomal RNA", at positions 29 to 507 of the family's 1533-position model. The record is from RNAcentral.
AGUGAACGCUGGCGGUAGGCCUAACACAUGCAAGUCGAACGGCAGCACAGUAAGAGCUUGCUCUUACGGGUGGCGAGUGGCGGACGGGUGAGGAAUACAUCGGAAUCUACUUUUUCGUGGGGGAUAACGUAGGGAAACUUACGCUAAUACCGCAUACGACCUACGGGUGAAAGCAGGGGAUCUUCGGACCUUGCGCGAUUGAAUGAGCCGAUGUCGGAUUAGCUAGUUGGCGGGGUAAAGGCCCACCAAGGCGACGAUCCGUAGCUGGGCUGAGAGGAUGAUCAGCCACACUGGAACUGAGACACGGCCCAGACUCCUACGGGAGGCAGCAGUGGGGAAUAUUGGACAAUGGGCGCAAGCCUGAUCCAGCCAUACCGCGUGGGUGAAGAAGGCCUUCGGGUUGUAAAGCCCUUUUGUUGGGAAAGAAAAGCAGCAGGUUAAUACCCCGCUGUUCUGACGGUACCCAAAGAAUAAGCACCGGCUAACUUCGUG